Molecule: ribosomal RNA, 253 nt
Filed under: uncultured bacterium
Lineage: Bacteria
Description: partial 16S ribosomal RNA
Rfam family: Bacterial small subunit ribosomal RNA
Source: RNAcentral
UACAGAGGUCCCGAGCGUUGUUCGGAUUCAUUGGGCGUAAAGGGUGCGUAGGUGGCGCCGUAAGUGGGGUGUGAAAUCCCGGGGCUUAACCCCGGGACUGCAUUCCAUACUGCGGUGCUUGAGGACUGGAGAGGAGACUGGAAUUUACGGUGUAGCAGUGAAAUGCGUAGAGAUCGUAAGGAAGACCAGUGGCGAAGGCGGGUCUCUGGACAGUUCCUGACACUGAGGCACGAAGGCCAGGGGAGCAAACAGG